AUUCAGCUGACGAGUCCCAAAUUGGACGAAUUGCACAUCAAACUGGAU
Non-coding RNA from Schistosoma rodhaini, 48 nucleotides. Lineage: Eukaryota; Metazoa; Platyhelminthes; Trematoda; Strigeidida; Schistosomatidae. The record is from Rfam.